Molecule: long non-coding RNA, 2370 nt
Filed under: Sus scrofa (pig)
Lineage: Eukaryota; Metazoa; Chordata; Mammalia; Artiodactyla; Suidae
Description: lncRNA (ENSSSCG00005034268.1)
Source: RNAcentral
CCUCUGCAACUGGAGCCUCACGACCUCUCCAGAGGGCCUGUUUCCUGCUCCCAUUCAAGAGAAUUUGAAGAACCUUCCAGGUAUGUGGAGAGGAGUCCCAACCCCCGCCCCCCACCACAAGUGAUGAUCUGGUUGAUUGUGUGAGCAGAACUCACCCUCUGGAACCCAGCCCUCCAUGCCCCUUCCAGGAGGGGUGCAGUCCGGAGACCCCGAUAAAAAGCCCGAAGCUUCGUCCCUCGGGGAAGUCCCAGGCAAGCCUCAUGCCUCAGUUUCCCCAACUGAGCAGCGGGGCCAUCUCUGAGCCCUGCCCUGGCCUUGGGGCUCAGGGAUUCCGAGCCCAUGGAGAUGGAUGUGAGGCAAGAACCUUGGCCCUGAAGUGCCCGCCUCCGAGGACUGGGGCCAAAAAACAGGAAGGCUUUGCGUGGGCCAGUAGAGUUUCCUCUCUAUGACCCUGAACUUCCAGGAUUUGUGACUCAGAGGAUGCCUGGAUCCCAUGUGUGUGGGGAUCUGACUCUGCUUCCUUAAGAGUUUCCUUCCCCGGCUCCUCCCCUGCUCCACAACACCCCGAGGCUCCCACUGACCCCUGAUCCAGGCUCCAGACACUGCCUGGCAUUCAAGGCCCCCAUCUCCACUGCCAGCCCCGUUGCUGCCCACCUCAGCCUGCAAGCCUCCUCCCCACACCUGCCAGGUCACUCUGGCCUCUCUGGUGUUCUCUUUGUUCUGUGCCUUCUUUUAUUUUAUUUUAUUUAUUUAUGUAUUUUUGUCUUUUUCUGGCCGCACCCGUGGCAUAUGGAGGUUCCCAGGCUAGGGGUCCGGUUGGAGCUGUAGCCGCCAGCCUACACCACAGCCAUGCCAACUCAGGAUUGGAGCCGCAUCUGUGACCUACACCACAGCUCAUGGCAACGCCGGAUCCUUAACCCACUGAGCAAGGCCAGGGAUCGAACCCGCAACUUCAUGGUUCCUAGUCAGUUCACUAACUGCUGAGCCACGACGGGAACGCUUGUUUUUUAUUUUAUUAUUAGGGCCGCACCUCUGGCAUAUGGAAAUUCCCAGGCUUGGGGCUGAAUCGGGGCUGCAGCUGACAGCCACAGCCACAGCAACGCCAGAUCCAAGCCUCGGCGAUCUGCAACGCAGCUCAGGACAAUGCCAGAUCCUUAACAAACUGAGGGAGGCCAAGGAUUGAACCCAAAUCCUCCGUGGCAUAUGGAGGUUCCCAGGCUAGGGGUCUAGUUGGAGCUGUAGCUGCUGGCCUACGCCAGAGCCACAGCAACACGGGGUCCGGGCAGCUCACAGCAAUGCCGGAUCCUUAACCCACUGAGGGAGGCCAGGGAUCGAACCAACGUCCCCAUGGAUACUAGUGGGUUCAUUAUUUUGUUACCGCUGAGCCACGAUGGGAACUCACAGCUCCUUUUUUUCUCCUGGUUUUGGCACCUCGGAGGUAGAAGGAUAUUCAUGUUCUCUCUCUGCCCACAGCUGCCCCAGCCCCACAGAAGCACCCUGGGGCCCCUGAAACCCAAACUGCGCUUUUCUUGCCUUGAAUUUGCUUCUCUUAUCAGAUCCCCAACUUACAGAUGGCACCAUCGUCCCUGCACCAAAGACCAGGAUGCUGACCUCCCAGACCCCUCCCUGCCACCCCGAAAGCCCCACAGCCCAGCUUUCAUCUCCUAUCUGGUCCCCCGCCUCCAGUCCUGCCCCCUUGUAUCCUCCUCAAGGUAGCAAAGCAGUCUUUCCAGAACCCAGAUCUCAUCUGUUUCUCUCCUGCUCUAAACCAGGGUCUCUCCCCUUCAACACUGUUGACAUUUGAGGCCAGAUCAUUCCCUGGGGUGGGGCCAUCCUGGGCAUGGUGGGGUGUGGAGCAGCCUCCCUGGCCCCACUCACUCCAUGCCAGGAUCCCUACCAGUCGUGACAACCAAAUGUCCUCGGACUCCACUCAGUAUGCCCUUGGGGGGGACAACCACCCCCAUGAGAACUGCUCUAAAGGCUCCUAGGCCCCCCAGUGCCCUUGAAAUGAAGCCCCCUCCCUUUCACUUCCAACCCUGGCAUCUGCACAUGCUGUUCCCUCUGCCCGGAAGCCCUUCCUCCUGCUCCCAGUAAUCUGCACAGUUAUUCCCAGAAACCUCUCAGACACCUCCUCCAGGAAGACCUCCCAGAUCAGCCCAAACUGACUUCCUCCAGACUCCUGGAGCAACCCCCACGAGUGCCCGCUUACCCUGUCUUCUAAACGCCUGAUUCUCUGUUCAUCUUCCCCACUGGACUCUGAGACCCCCGAGAGGGCAGGGCUCAGUCUGUCUUGAUCACCAGUGUGUCCCCACCACCCAGCACAAGGCCUGGCAUAUAGGAGAAGCUCAAUGAAUAAUAAAAGUAGCAAAC